GAUGAACGCUGGCGGCGUGCCUAAUACAUGCAAGUCGAGCGAACGGACGAGAAGCUUGCUUCUCUGAUGUUAGCGGCGGACGGGUGAGUAACACGUGGAUAACCUACCUAUAAGACUGGGAUAACUUCGGGAAACCGGAGCUAAUACCGGAUAAUAUUUUGAACCGCAUGGUUCAAAAGUGAAAGACGGUCUUGCUGUCACUUAUAGAUGGAUCCGCGCUGCAUUAGCUAGUUGGUAAGGUAACGGCUUACCAAGGCAACGAUGCAUAGCCGACCUGAGAGGGUGAUCGGCCACACUGGAACUGAGACACGGUCCAUGCUCCUACGGGAGGCAGCAGUAGGGAAUCUUCCGCAAUGGGCGGAAGCCUGACGGAGCAACGCCGCGUGAGGUAUGAAGGUCUUCGGUUCGUAAAACUCUGUUAUUAGGGAAAAACAUAUGUGUAAGUAACUGUGCACAUCUUGACGGUACCUAAUCAGAAAGCCACGGCUAACUACGUG
RNAcentral lists this ribosomal RNA (497 nucleotides) under uncultured bacterium. Its description in RNAcentral is "partial 16S ribosomal RNA". It matches the Rfam family "Bacterial small subunit ribosomal RNA", at positions 28 to 507 of the family's 1533-position model. The record is from RNAcentral.